UACGAAGGGGGCUAGCGUUGUUCGGAAUCAUUGGGCGUAAAGCGCACGUAGGCGGAUGUGCCAGUCAGGGGUGAAAUCCCGGAGCUCAACUCCGGAACUGCCUCUGAUACAGCACGUCUUGAGUUCGAGAGAGGUGGGUGGAAUUCCUAGUGUAGAGGUGAAAUUCGUAGAUAUUAGGAAGAACACCGGUGGCGAAGGCGGCCCACUGGCUCGAUACUGACGCUGAGGUGCGAAAGCGUGGGGAGCAAACAGG
RNAcentral lists this ribosomal RNA (253 nucleotides) under uncultured bacterium. Its description in RNAcentral is "partial 16S ribosomal RNA". It matches the Rfam family "Bacterial small subunit ribosomal RNA", at positions 524 to 776 of the family's 1533-position model. The record is from RNAcentral.